GUUCAGGACCUGGAGCACAUGCAGGCUGGGAUGGGGAAAAGAACCCUUUUCAUGCCUAAAGACAUGAUUCAUUCAGAGGUCUCUGACUUGUUUAAAAUGACAUAUCCAAAAAUGGAAAAAAUCACUGGAGGGUGGCUGUUGUACAAAGCAGCUGGUGGAAAUGGAAAACGACCUCUAUCUGUAGUACCUCCUGAAUCUGAGGGUUACACAGGAAGCAUAAUUAAAAGUGCCUCUGGAGGGGGGAAAACCAUGCUGUACAUUGUCCCAUUACAAGAGGAAUUUGAUUUACGGCCUCUUCCCUGUGAUUCUCAGGAAUUUUCACGCAUGCCAAAGGCUGAAUGCAAAAUGUGUCUUAAAAUUUUGCCUUUGCAGCUCCUUGCACUCCAUGUGAAGCAGUGUAAAGCA
Molecule: long non-coding RNA, 405 nt
Organism: Astyanax mexicanus (Mexican tetra)
Lineage: Eukaryota; Metazoa; Chordata; Actinopteri; Characiformes; Acestrorhamphidae
Exons: 3
Source: RefSeq, a predicted model, not a curated record